RNAcentral lists this ribosomal RNA (216 nucleotides) under Glomeromycotina sp. RNAcentral describes it as "partial small subunit ribosomal RNA". The stretch from base 40 to 216 matches the Rfam family "Eukaryotic small subunit ribosomal RNA", at positions 686 to 864 of the family's 1831-position model. The record is from RNAcentral. Lineage: Eukaryota; Fungi; Glomeromycota.
GGGUCAGUAGGUUGGUCGUGCCACCGGUACGUACUGGUCUCACUGAUUCCUCCUUCCUGAAGAACCGUAAUGCCAUUAAUUUGGUGUUGCGGGGAAACAGGACUGUUACUUUGAAAAAAUUAGAGUGUUUAAAGCAAGCUAACGCUUGAAUACAUUAGCAUGGGAUAAUGAAAUAGGACGAUCGAUCCUAUUUUGUUGGUUCCUAGGAUUGACGUA